AACGCACCUUGCGCUCCUUGGUAUUCCGAGGAGCAUGCCUGUUUGAGUGUCAUGAAAUUCUCAACCUCUCUGGUUUUCUGACUAGUUAGGCUUGGAUCAUGGAAGUUGUUGGCUCAAUUUGAAUCAACUCUUCUUAAAUAUAUUAGCAAAGGCUUUUGCUGACCAUCAUUGGUAUGAUAAUUAUCUAUAUCAUUGGUAACCAGUUCCCUUCACAGGGGGUCUUGCUUCUAAUCGUCGUUUCGACAACUUGACAACUUUGACCUCAAAUCAGGUAGGACUACCCGCUGAACUUAA
This 294-nucleotide unclassified non-coding RNA is filed under the name uncultured fungus. RNAcentral's name for it is "sequence contains ITS2". The stretch from base 1 to 52 matches the Rfam family "5.8S ribosomal RNA", at positions 103 to 154 of the family's 154-position model. The record is from RNAcentral. Lineage: Eukaryota; Fungi.